This 506-nucleotide ribosomal RNA is filed under the name uncultured bacterium. Its description in RNAcentral is "partial 16S ribosomal RNA". It matches the Rfam family "Bacterial small subunit ribosomal RNA", at positions 29 to 523 of the family's 1533-position model. The record is from RNAcentral.
AGUGAACGCUGGCGGUAGGCCUAACACAUGCAAGUCGAACGGCAGCACAGGAGAGCUUGCUCUCUGGGUGGCGAGUGGCGGACGGGUGAGGAAUACAUCGGAAUCUACCUUUUCGUGGGGGACAACGUAGGGAAACUUACGCUAAUACCGCAUACGACCUUCGGGUGAAAGCAGGGGACCUUCGGGCCUUGCGCGGAUAGAUGAGCCGAUGUCGGAUUAGCUAGUUGGCGGGGUAAAGGCCCACCAAGGCGACGAUCCGUAGCUGGUCUGAGAGGAUGAUCAGCCACACUGGAACUGAGACACGGUCCAGACUCCUACGGGAGGCAGCAGUGGGGAAUAUUGGACAAUGGGCGCAAGCCUGAUCCAGCCAUACCGCGUGGGUGAAGAAGGCCUUCGGGUUGUAAAGCCCUUUUGUUGGGAAAGAAAAGCAGCCAGUUAAUACCUGGUUGUUCUGACGGUACCCAAAGAAUAAGCACCGGCUAACUUCGUGCCAGCAGCCGCUGUAA